CACCCUCACGUUCUCUCUCUAAAACUUGGUUGAGGUUGGUAGAGAGUAGUGGCAGCAGGGGUGAAGUGCAAUUUUGUAGUUUUGGAGGGUUAAAGUGAUAAUUGUCCAUCCUUAUCACUUAGCCCAGGCGGAUUGAUGCUCGGAGAAGUAGCUGCGGCUUGGUGAAGUUGGGCGCCCAGAUUGAAGGGGUGGAGAGAGCCUUGACUUAAAAAGCUGUGAAGGAAGCUUUUGGAGCUAGGAAGAAAACUGUGGGAGAAGCCUCGAAUUGAGGAAAACUUAGGCAUGUUGCUAUGUUGAUGCUUUAAUUAAGGAAGUUUGGAGCUGCUAUGUUGGUGCCUUAAUUAAAUAUUGCUGAAGUUGCUGCUUUGAGGUAAGGUAAUUGCUCAAGUUCUGAUUAUGGAUCAAUUACUUACUUUAUAAAGAGGCUAAUUUGAAGGAAUAUGGCUAUUGAGCUAAUUAAACCCCCAAAAUAAGUUUGAUAAUUAUGAACUAUGUAUUAGUGGAAGUGCAAUUAGGAAUAAGUUGAUUUUCCCCUGUUUAAGAUUAUCAAGAUUGCUCCACUAGCAGUAUGAGCAAUAGAAUUGCUAAUAGAAUAUAAAUAAUGAAGAUAAUGGUUCUAUGUUGAUAAUUAAAGUUAAGGUUAAAUUGAAG
Long non-coding RNA from Ananas comosus (pineapple), 651 nucleotides. RefSeq lists it as uncharacterized. NCBI's taxonomy places the organism in Eukaryota, Viridiplantae, Streptophyta, Magnoliopsida, Poales, Bromeliaceae. The transcript is spliced from 3 exons. The record is from RefSeq and is a predicted model, not a curated record.